Molecule: non-coding RNA, 117 nt
Organism: Pteropus alecto (black flying fox)
Lineage: Eukaryota; Metazoa; Chordata; Mammalia; Chiroptera; Pteropodidae
Source: Rfam
GUCUAUGGCUAUGCCACCCUGAACAAACCUGAUGUCUGAUCUCAUAAAGCUAAGCAGGCUCGGGCCUAGUUAGUACUUGGAUGGGAGACUACCUAGGAAGACCAGGUGUUGUAGGCA